This 381-nucleotide ribosomal RNA is filed under the name Triticum aestivum (bread wheat). RNAcentral describes it as "partial small subunit ribosomal RNA". The record is from RNAcentral. Lineage: Eukaryota; Viridiplantae; Streptophyta; Magnoliopsida; Poales; Poaceae.
AUGAAAAUCAAUGGGUGGAAGAAAACAUUACUUUCUACCGGAGGCAAGGAGAUCCUUCUCAAGUCUGUUGUCCAAGCCGUACCUACCUAUGCAAUGUCGGCCUAUAAAAUUCCUAAAAAAUGCAAAGGAAUUAUUGACCCGAUGAAGCAUUUCUGGCGGGAAGACGAGGAGAACCAUAGAAGGGUGCAUUGGAUGGUUUGGUAGAAAAUAUGUGUCCCUAAGAAUAAAGGAGGGGUGGGCUUUCGUGAUAUUCACUAUUUCAAUUUGGCAAUGCUGGCCAAAUAGGCUUGGCGUCUCCUAGAGAAUCUCGACUCUUUUUGUGAUACUAUUCUGAAAGGUAAAUACUAUCUUGAUUGUGAUUUUUUAAAUACGAAGUACUAA